This 350-nucleotide unclassified non-coding RNA is filed under the name soil metagenome. RNAcentral's name for it is "partial contains 5.8S ribosomal RNA, internal transcribed spacer 2, and large subunit ribosomal RNA". The stretch from base 1 to 120 matches the Rfam family "5.8S ribosomal RNA", at positions 35 to 154 of the family's 154-position model. The record is from RNAcentral.
GAUGAAGAACGCAGCGAAAUGCGAUAAGUAAUGUGAAUUGCAGAAUUCCGUGAAUCAUCGAAUCUUUGAACGCACAUUGCGCCCGCCAGUAUUCUGGCGGGCAUGCCUGUUCGAGCGUCAUUUCAACCCUCAAGCCCAGCUUGGUGUUGGGGAUCGGCACAGGCGCCCUCGGGCGCCCGCCGUCCCCUAAAUCUAGUGGCGGUCCCGCUGCAGCCUCCUCUGCGUAGUAGUUUUCUCCUCGCAAGGGCAGCUCGGUGGCGACCUCGCCGUAAAACCCCCAACUUCUGAAAGGUUGACCUCGAAUCAGGUAGGAAUACCCGCUGAACUUAAGCAUAUCAAUAAGCGGAGGA